CUCAAAGAUUAAGCCAUGCAAGUGGUUAUAUUAACCCGACAGUUUAAAUAAGUGUUAAAUGCUACAUUAAACUUAUACACACACUCACGCACACACACACACACACGAUUUUGUUUACAGUAGUAACAAUUUCAGCGUGAAUCACUUCUUACGCAGUGAAUCACUUGAAUUUUACACAUUCAGUAUCACUUACGCAACUGCAGACAGCUGCUUAAUACAGUCACACUUGUCUUGACUUGGCGUCAUUAUUUAAGAAUUUCCAUUCGGAACACUUUGCUCACGCAAGGCUUACGGGUGGAUUUUUUUUUAUAUAUCGACUUUUGUCGUGCAUACCCACGCAUACAAAAUUCAUUUUGAUUUCUCUGUAUCGCUUAUUCUCAAAGGACAUGCGUUACACCGUGACAAUUUUCUUUUUAUGGAUAACUCAGGGAAAGUUUGGCUAAUACGUACGAGUACAUAUACCACACACACACACACACACGAUACAGAAUUUAUUUUGUUUUGCUGCGUGUAUCGACACACACACACACACACACACACUUUACUACUCAGCACUCAGUGGUACACUUUGGCCACGCUCGCGCGGUCAGUAUAAAGUUUAACUGCAACAUGAGAGACAUWGAGCACGCACGUGUCGUUCCUUCGGGAACUUCACAUCACGCUGAGCAGACUUUGCGAAGUUUACUUUGCGAAGCAUGUCAUACAAGCAUCUACAGCAUCAAGUCACAGGGUUGGCAAGUGUAUUUUUGAACCUUCAAAGCAGUCACGCAUACGGAAGAGUAGUUUCUGAUCCCAUAGAAGGAGCACCGUACAAUGAGAGACCGCUCUUAGUUCUAAGGAACGCAGCAGGCGCGUAAAUUGCCCAAUGCUAGUACCCUACAAUCUAUUUAUAAAUUGUAUUACCAUGCGUUAACAAUUUACAACAUAACAAGUUUAUUACACACAUAUAGCACUAUAUUUUUUUCUGUCACACACAGAAGACAUCCUUGUUCGUUGUUUAUUCAGCAUUUUAAGCUACAUAUAUUUUUAUAUUAGUUAUUUUACUGAGGCAGUGACAAGCUGUAACGGUUGAGUAUAAAAAUGACGAGUGUCUGGCAUUGCCGCUCUUUCGGGAGCUUGGCAAGUUGCCGACGCUUUGUGUGCUCAAUUGGAAUGCGGUGAGUUUAAGCAACUCAGAACCUUUGGACGGUGUUAGUAAAAUUUCACUGUUCGUGUAUCUGAAUUUCAAGUGGAGGGCAAGUCUGGUGCCAGCAGCCGCGGUAAUACCAGCUCCACUGGCCUAUACAAUCAUUGUU
Molecule: ribosomal RNA, 1295 nt
Filed under: Epistominella vitrea
Lineage: Eukaryota; Foraminifera; Rotaliida; Pseudoparrellidae
Description: SSU rRNA
Rfam family: Eukaryotic small subunit ribosomal RNA
Source: RNAcentral